Molecule: long non-coding RNA, 1196 nt
Filed under: Mytilus galloprovincialis (Mediterranean mussel)
Lineage: Eukaryota; Metazoa; Mollusca; Bivalvia; Mytilida; Mytilidae
Source: RNAcentral
AAAAUUAUAAGGUUAUAUGUAUUUUUAAUAUAGGGUAAAGUUAAAAUGUGAUACUAAAUUCUUAUUUUUUUUUAUAUCUAUAGUCGUGAUGGUAUAUGUAUUAUACAAUUUUUAUAUGGUUAAUGAUUCCAUUUAAAACCUGUGCUCUUAUAGCCUAGAGUUGUCUCCCAAUACAGUGCAGUUACAAACUGUCAUUAUUUAUAAUAUAAUUCAGGGCUCACCACACUAGGCGAAAUGACUGACUAUAUGUCUCCUUUGAUUUACCCUUUGCUCUAGGAAAGCUCCAGGGAGAAGUUUAUGUUGCCCUUGAUUUUCAGAAAAAUUCCCCAAAGUCACCUCGUAAGUUGUAAGUUAGAUAUUACAACUAUACUUACAACAUUUAACAAUGAAUGGAUUUGUCUUAUUUAAAUGCAUUACUAUGUAAUACUAUUAACACCUUUAUGAAGAAUUUUUGGACGAUUUCCUAGUGGUUUAUCAUUAAUCUCAUAUUCAUAUCUCUUGGUUCUAAAUUAGUCAUGUUCUCCUUAAAAAGAUGAAUUAAAAGCAAGGUUGGAAUGCAUUACUUUAAAGUGCAGGUAAAGUUUAGGUUUAAGUUAGGGACUGCAAUUUAGAUACAGAAUUAUUUGACUUUUUGUUCAGAUUUUAUGACAAUUAGUUGUUGUUUUGGCAUGAAUAGGUAAGAAUAUGUCUAUCUCAUGUUUGACUAGGCUAAAAGUCAUAAGUCAAUUUUUUCUGUCAUGUAUUUGUAAAUAUAAUGUAACCAUUCUUUAUUAUUUUUAAGCAGAAUUUAAUAACUAGUUCCUCGUUGCAUAUACCUUUGUUUUUACAUUGAUUUUCAAAUUGAAUUUGCUGUUUCCAUGUUUGUGUGUAAACAUUUUGAAAAGAAGUAAAGAGGAAUUUUAAAUUACUGGUCAGCACAGAUUCAGAAUAAAAUGUCAAGGUGCAGUAACAUUGUACUCCUGUGGAUUCAGAUACCAUCAGCUGUUUAAUUACCAUGCAUGGUAAUUAACAUAUUUCAAGCUUGCUCAAUAUAUCCAGAGACAUAAGUCUCUGAUAUAUCAUAAAGAAACUAGCAGGAUAAAUAAUCAUAUGAAAUGAAUAUAUACUUCUUCCCUGAAUAUGCACUUAAUUUGCAACUGGACAUUAACCUGACAGUUAUUUAUUAGUUCAUCAAGUUUUAAUUUUUUAAAUCUGAU